UACGAAGGGGGCGAGCGUUGUUCGGAGUUACUGGGCGUAAAGGGCGCGUAGGCGGCGAUCCAAGUUAGGCGUGAAAGCCCCAGGCUUAACCUGGGAACUGCGUCCGAUACUGGGAGGCUUGGAUUCGGGAGAGGGAUGUGGAAUUCCAGGUGUAGCGGUGAAAUGCGUAGAUAUCUGGAGGAACACCGGUGGCGAAGGCGGCAUCCUGGACCGAGAUCGACGCUGAGGCGCGAAAGCUAGGGGAGCAAACGGG
This 253-nucleotide ribosomal RNA is filed under the name uncultured bacterium. RNAcentral describes it as "partial 16S ribosomal RNA". It matches the Rfam family "Bacterial small subunit ribosomal RNA", at positions 524 to 776 of the family's 1533-position model. The record is from RNAcentral.